Non-coding RNA from Pteropus alecto (black flying fox), 119 nucleotides. The record is from Rfam. NCBI's taxonomy places the organism in Eukaryota, Metazoa, Chordata, Mammalia, Chiroptera, Pteropodidae.
CGCUACAGCCAUGCCACCCUGAACGUGCUAGAUCUCGUCUGAUCUCGGAAGCUAAGCAGGGUCGGGCCUGGUUAGUACUUGGAUGGGAGACCAUCUAGGAAUACCAGGUGUUGUAGGCG